This 186-nucleotide unclassified non-coding RNA is filed under the name uncultured fungus. RNAcentral's name for it is "partial contains 5.8S ribosomal RNA, internal transcribed spacer 2, and large subunit ribosomal RNA". The record is from RNAcentral. Lineage: Eukaryota; Fungi.
AGGGAUCAUUACCAAAGAUGGCGGGCCUCCGUGCCCCCGUCCCCAACCCAUUGUUGACCAAAACCCUUUUUGCCUCGGGGGCAGAGCGUCCGCCGCCGCCCCCGGAGGACCAUUUAACGCUGUCUCUUUGCGUCGGAGUAUUGAUUAAAUAAAUGAAAACUUUCAACAACGGAUCUCUUGGUUCUG